GUACCUGCAAAGGCAUGAAUUCUUGCAGGAAUUAUAGCUCAUGAGAGCAAUACUUUUUUUUAUAUAAAUCUAUUUAAAGGAUGAGACAUAGAAGGAUCUUUGAAAAUUAUGGUCUGGAAUGGAUAUUUUGCAGACCAAAGUUUGAGAGGUCUGUCAUUGGGAAUGCAUAAUUGUAUCCGAAAGCUUCCCGUGAUGAACUUUAGGUCAAACUCAUAAAGAGAGAACAUUUAAAUUCGUAAAGAAGGGGUAGUGUUCAAGCUAUUUCCCAAGUUAUUAUUUCAAAUCUUUGCCCUUCCAAGUUUUAAAGGUUUAAAUUGUUUGUUAGGGUUUCUCAAUUUGGGUGUUUGAUUUACGAAUUUUAAUUCUUCUCUCUUUCUAAGUUUGAAAACUACCUUCAUUAUCUGGUUGGAGUUGUUGAUACAACCAGAACCAGAUUUUAAAUUCAGUUGGGAUUGUUGGGAGAUAAGAAUGGGAGAUUUUUUUGGCUGGCUCUUUGUCAGUUGGGAUUUGUUUUUGUUUUCUUUUCUUAAUGCUUCUUAAUUCCUGUUUUGCUUUAGCAAAGUGUUCAGCUCGCAUGAAUUUGAUCUUUCGGUUAAUAGAGCUUAGAAAUUAGCUUACGGCACCAUAUGAAAAUGGGUUUAAUUUUCUUUAGGUUUAUAGUGAAGAAGUCGAUCGUUUAAAAGGGUUUUUCUUCAAGAACAAACAUAUAGUGUAAUUUAAGAUAAACAAAAAGAAACUAAACUAUUUUUAUAUCACCAAAAAUUUCAGUGUCUCUGAUACCUAAUCAGACCAAAGUGAGUCAAAUUAAAGUUAGUAACCAACUGAACUUACUACAAGUGAAAUGUGUCUGAACAAUGAGUUGAGGCAAACACCAGAGGAGCCACAAUAAGUUAUUAAUUGUUCUUCAAAACAAGAAAACAAACUAAAGAAACACAUAAUUUCAAAAGUUCAGAGUGAAUUGUGUCCUGUUCGCGUUUUUUUUAAAAAAAGAAAAACUCCACAAUCAGUUUUGCCCUUGCAUGGCCCUCUGAAAUUUGGAACUGUUCAGUUAAACCCAGAUGUGCCAUAAGAAGCCAGACAUGGGUGAGCAGCUCUCCUCCUCGCCUGAGCUGCUGAGCCUGACCACUCCGUCGACAUUGAUUGGCGGCAUAAGGGAGCAUCUCCACCCACACAUGACUUACAAACUGCCACUUUCUCCCAUUAGUCCCCCCUCUAUCUGACUCCAGGGACUGCAAGGCUUUAGCAAGCCUGCAUGCAUCAAAUAGAACUGACUUGCUUCUAUCUCCUUUCACUUUAGAUGGAAGGAUGUCUGUGCACACAUCCAGUAGCUUUGUGCAUGCUUUCCUUUCACCCAAUUUCAUUAUUUUCUUUUCCUUGAAAAAUUCUUCAGCCUCAGCACAUGUGUCUCUAAACCUUAUCUGUCCAAUCCCAUUCAGUAGCAUGAAGGGGCACAUGACUAAUAGUUCAAUAACAGCUUACUGUCUUCACAAUUUUCACUAGGAACCGAGUUCGAGUUUCGAUUCACAUCAGAAUAAUAACAUAGAUCGGUUUGUGCAUUUGGUAUUUGUUUUUGUGUGAUAUUUUUCUCUUAGGGCGUGUCAAAUGGUAAAGCUGUUGAUUUGUUGGAAUUUAGGGUUUAUGAUUUGUUGAUUAAAUUUUGUGAUGGACCUCUUUUCCUCUCUCUGUUUGUGCAUUUGUCUUAAUUAAAUUUGUUUCUUAAAAAAAAAAUAAAAUGGUCUGUUUGAUUAAUUGAUAUGACAGUUUGCUUUGAUUAAUUCAUGUGUAUGACAGAAAAGGUUGGGAGCUGCUUUUGGAGCCUCAUUUAUUUGGCCUGCGAGCUUGAUUUACUUCUCCAGGUCAAGAUCUCCAUCAAAGAGAAGAAAAGUCAUGAAGAAAUUGCAAAACAAAACCUGCCCAAUUAAACAGCAUGCUACUCAAAACUAUCCAAAUUUUGCUAUUUUGAUAACUGCUUCCCACUAUUAACAUCUCAAUGUAUACACAAACAUGCCUACUAUUUUAACAUAACAAGCAGCCUGUAAAAUAUGUUAUUACUUUCUUUUUUAGCAACUUAUACUGCCUUAGUUAAGCAUAAUGCUACAAAUUAAAUCUCAUUGUAUAUAUAAACAAUCUUAUUUUGUGUAUGUAAUUUCAAAACCCGCAGCAUCGUGCGGGCUUUUUUUCUA
This is a long non-coding RNA of Prunus dulcis (almond), 2183 nucleotides long. RefSeq lists it as uncharacterized. The record is from RefSeq and is a predicted model, not a curated record. The transcript is spliced from 2 exons. Lineage: Eukaryota; Viridiplantae; Streptophyta; Magnoliopsida; Rosales; Rosaceae.